RNAcentral lists this ribosomal RNA (498 nucleotides) under Triticum aestivum (bread wheat). RNAcentral's name for it is "partial small subunit ribosomal RNA". The record is from RNAcentral. Lineage: Eukaryota; Viridiplantae; Streptophyta; Magnoliopsida; Poales; Poaceae.
AUGAGUUUAUAUACUGUAGCAAUCAAGGUUCUCAAUCUUGGCAAACGAGGAGCUAAUAGAAGCUUUUUGAGAGAGAGUGAGGCCCUAAGGAAGAUUCGACACCGGAAACUUGUCAAAGUGAUCACUGUGUGUAGCAGUUUGGACCGUAAUGGUGAUGAGUUCAAGGCACUUGUCUUAGAGUUUAUAUGCAAGGGAAAUUUAGAUGAGUGGUUGCAUCCAAACUCCAUGACUAACAACAGGAACUUUAGAAGGCUAAGUUUGAUGGAAAGGCUAUGUAUUACUCUUGAUGUUGUUGAGGCAUUAGAAUAUCUUCACCAUCAAAUUGAUCCAUCCAUAGUUCACUGUGAUAUCAAACCAUGCAACAUCCUUCUAGAUGAUGACUUUGUUGCGCACGUCACCGACUUUGGUCUGGCAAAGAUAAUGCAUACUGAAGAAUGUGAGCACGGUGGUGGUGGAUAUUCUUGGCAUGACAACAAUUGUAUAUUCUUGGUAUCAUAA